Molecule: ribosomal RNA, 435 nt
Filed under: uncultured bacterium
Lineage: Bacteria
Description: partial 16S ribosomal RNA
Rfam family: Bacterial small subunit ribosomal RNA
Source: RNAcentral
AACGAACGCUGGCGGCAGGCUUAACACAUGCAAGUCGAACGCGUGCAGCAAUGCACGAGUGGCGCACGGGUGAGUAACGAGUGGAUAUCUGCCUUUUGGUUCGGAAUAACCCCGGGAAACUGGGGCUAAUACCGGAUGGUUCCUACGGGAUAAAGAUUUAUCGCCAAAAGAUGAGUCCGCGUCCGAUUAGCUAGUUGGUGAGGUAAUGGCUCACCAAGGCGACGAUCGGUAGCUGGUCUGAGAGGACGAUCAGCCACACUGGGACUGAGACACGGCCCAGACUCCUACGGGAGGCAGCAGUGGGGAAUAUUGGACAAUGGGGGCAACCCUGAUCCAGCCAUGCCGCGUGAAUGAUGAAGGCCUUCGGGUUGUAAAGCUCUUUUGGCGGGGACGAUGAUGACGGUACCCGAAGAAUAAGCCCCGGCUAACUUCGUG